Molecule: ribosomal RNA, 838 nt
Filed under: Staphylococcus pseudintermedius
Lineage: Bacteria; Bacillati; Bacillota; Bacilli; Caryophanales; Staphylococcaceae
Description: partial 23S ribosomal RNA
Rfam family: Bacterial large subunit ribosomal RNA
Source: RNAcentral
CUCUUAAGAUUGAGCUGUGAUGGGGAGAGGAACUUGUUCCUCGAGUCGUUGAUUUCACACUGCCGAGAAAAGCCUCUAGCUAGAAUAACGGUGCCCGUACCGCAAACCGACACAGGUAGUCAAGAUGAGAAUUCUAAGGUGAGCGAGCGAACUCUCGUUAAGGAACUCGGCAAAAUGACCCCGUAACUUCGGGAGAAGGGGUGCUCUUUGAGGUUCACGCUUCGAAGAGCCGCAGUGAAUAGGCCCAAGCGACUGUUUAUCAAAAACACAGGUCUCUGCUAAACCGUAAGGUGACGUAUAGGGGCUGACGCCUGCCCGGUGCUGGAAGGUUAAGAGGAGUGGUUAGCGCAAGCGAAGCUACGAAUCGAAGCCCCAGUAAACGGCGGCCGUAACUAUAACGGUCCUAAGGUAGCGAAAUUCCUUGUCGGGUAAGUUCCGACCCGCACGAAAGGCGUAACGAUUUGGGCACUGUCUCAACGAGAGACUCGGUGAAAUCAUAGUACCGGUGAAGAUGCCGGUUACCCGCGACAGGACGGAAAGACCCCGUGGAGCUUUACUGUAGCCUGAUAUUGAAAUUCGGUACAGUUUGUACAGGAUAGGUAGGAGCCUUAGAAGCGUGAGCGCUAGCUUACGUGGAGGCAUUGGUGGGAUACUACCCUAAUUGUAUUGGAUUUCUAACCCGCAGCACUUAUCGUGCUGGGAGACAGUGUCAGGCGGGCAGUUUGACUGGGGCGGUCGCCUCCUAAAGAGUAACGGAGGCGCUCAAAGGUUCCCUCAGAAUGGUUGGAAAUCAUUCAUAGAGUGUAAAGGCAUAAGGGAGCUUGACUGCGAGACCUAC